RNAcentral lists this long non-coding RNA (1367 nucleotides) under Gallus gallus (chicken). RNAcentral's name for it is "lncRNA (ENSGALG00010008601.1)". Lineage: Eukaryota; Metazoa; Chordata; Aves; Galliformes; Phasianidae. The record is from RNAcentral.
CUGAAGAUGGGAGAAAGCACCCCGGUUCCCUUGUAUCACACAGUAAUGUAUCCCUGUCAUUACAGCAGAAUUGUCAGAUAUCUACAAUAAAACAUUUCCAGCCAGGAGGAGAAACAAGUGUCUGAAGAGCAGAUAUGAACUGAACACAUUUGGUGGUCAGUAACUCUGUCAUUCCCUCAGAGAACUUCUGUGACUUGAGGAAUUUGACUUCCCUUCUUGGGUCCAAGCUGCUACUCACAGACUGUACGAGUGACUUCACAGAUGACUCCUGCAAUGAGAGUUUCCAGCAUUCCCGAUUUGCAGCUUUCUAUGGCUUGCCAUCUCAUGCAGCAAAUUUUCGUAGCUAUACAGGACAGAAGAGACAGUGUCAGCAAUGUUCCUUUUUUUUUUUUUUUCUCUUUUUAAUUAAAGAAGUUAAUGCAUUUGCUCCCCUAUUCUCAUGGGUUUCCCUAGUUCAAAAUAUUGCUGUCUCAUCCUUAUUUAUGAAACCAUUGAUUAAUGCAAAUAAAGGAUUAUAUAAUUGGGUUAUAUUGGCCUAUGUGAGAUCCCCAAAGUCAGCAAACACUGAAUUUAAAAGGAGGCUUAGGUUUCAAUGUUUUGUAAAUUGUGUUGCUGCAAAGUAUUUUAUUAUCAAAAUUCAAUUUGUCUAACUCAAGAAAAAAUAUCUUGGCAUUUCAUGACUUUGCAAUUUUAGACAGUUUAGAUCGCUAUUGAGUAUUUAAUACAUUUCAGCACUCUUCCACCACCAACCACUACAUAUAAAAAAUAGGGUUUGAAAUGGAUUAAGUAAGAAAGAACACCAAUCUGGAGGAAAUAUAUCAGGAGAGUCAAUAUUUAAUAAAUACAUGAACACAACUUUUAUGAGUUUGACACAUUUAAAAGGAAAGCAAGAUUCUCUUAAACAUACACACCAGGCCAAAUCCACUCUAGAAAAACUACCCACUUCUUAGACCGAUCACAUGUAGUUGUAUUUCCCAACAAGAGUGUUUAAAUGCACAAGUAAAGAUAGUCUGAUGCUCAGAAGCACUCUUCAAACUCACCAUUACCUUUUCUUAACACUUAGGAACUAUCAUCAAAGCUAAAGUAAUGUUAACUUUAUUUAAACAUGUACAUUGCUGCGUUAAUUCAAAUAUCAUGCUUAAAGUCGUAUAAAGUAUAGUACUGGUCUUCAUCUCUUCAGGCAGCUCAUGAGACAAGUUCCAGAUUUUACCUGUAUUGUCAAAAUUGUUACAUGGACUGGUUGUUUUUAGACAUUUUUCUCUGGUAAUACACUGGGGAUAAAAUCCUGAAAGCUUUUUUAGUACCUGGAAGAACAGCCAAGAUAAGUGGGUGUGGGCUAGAAAGUAUUAAAUUCAUAAACUUAAUCU